CAAAUCCAAGGCAGAAAAAUGACUCCAGUGAUGGAUGCCACCACAUCAGCUGUUAGCUUGCUAUGGUUUUAGUCCCUUAAUCACCAACAGCUUCAGGAUCCCACUGGAGAGAUGGGUGAUCAAGCACGAGGUGAGACAGCUGAGAAGGGGUGCAAUGCCUCUAGUUUGCAGGAACCAGAGUAGGCAUUCAUGGGCAAGAAGAAUCCACCAAGAGCAGAAAAAUCUCUCUGGCUGCUGCCAGGAGGCUGCUGUGUAGGAGACUGAGCAUGGAAGCCCCAGCCCAGCCCUGCCCAGUUAGGAAGCAACUAUUGUAUUCAGCAAACCCUGCUGGCUCUAACGAGAAGUAUCAUCCCGAGUGCAUCACCAUCACUUCUCACCUCCAUGGCCUCUCAUUAUGCACUCUCUGCCUCUACUCUUGCCUUCCUGGAGCCGUUCUCCAGCCGUUAGCCAAAUGGGUCUUUUCAAAGGUUCCCUGUGCUCCAGCCCCUCAUCACCUGGGAUGGGGUUGUCUGCACCGCUGUCCUUGUGCCUGAUGUCCCCACACGCUCGCUCCUCCUCCACCUUCCGGUAGUCCCAGCUUGAAAGUUCUGACCUCAUCCCCUUCCCCAACACACCCCUACUCCCUGUCACAUCACUCGAAUCUGCUGCCUACAAUUGGUGGGAGUGAAACCACUUAGUUUGCCAACUUUGAAGGAAUCCUGUGAAAUGCUCAGGUAACUGGCACCAAUUUCCCAUUUGUUCCCUUGACAUUUCAGUGCUGCUUAUGGAUUAGUGCUUUGGGCAGCUGCACAGAUAACCCACCUUUUGAUCUGGGUCCGCUUGGCACAAGAUACAAUAAAUGUCAUGAUAAAUGUCAGCCAGGAUUACAAUGCUUCCUUCACAAACCUUAGCACAGACGGUUUCAAUAAAGAUUGCUUGAUUAACUUUUUUCUUCUAAUUCAAUGCCAUUUUAAUCAUGUGCCUACUUUUUGCUUAAAAGGCCUGUGAAUUUCAUUCUGACAAAUAAAAUUAUUUUCCAAAAA
RNAcentral lists this long non-coding RNA (1022 nucleotides) under Homo sapiens (human). RNAcentral's name for it is "HSALNT0263481". Lineage: Eukaryota; Metazoa; Chordata; Mammalia; Primates; Hominidae. The record is from RNAcentral.